Molecule: non-coding RNA, 74 nt
Organism: Pelecanus crispus (Dalmatian pelican)
Lineage: Eukaryota; Metazoa; Chordata; Aves; Pelecaniformes; Pelecanidae
Source: Rfam
GCCGGGUUAGCUCAGUUGGUUAGAGCAUGGUGCUAAUAACGGCAAGUUCACAGGUUUAAUCCCUGCUCACUGCA